UGCAAGUCGAACGGACUUUACAUGAAGCCUAGCGAUUGUAAAGUUAGUGGCGGACGGGUGAGUAACGCGUGAAUAACCUGCCCUGUACCGGGGGACAACAGUUGGAAACGGCUGCUAAUACCGCAUAAGCGCACGGUUCCGCAUGGAACAGUGUGAAAAACUCCGGUGGUACAGGAUGGAUUCGCGUCUGAUUAGCCAGUUGGUGGGGUAACGGCCUACCAAAGCAACGAUCAGUAGCCGGCCUGAGAGGGUGAACGGCCACAUUGGGACUGAGACACGG
This 280-nucleotide ribosomal RNA is filed under the name uncultured bacterium. Its description in RNAcentral is "partial 16S ribosomal RNA". It matches the Rfam family "Bacterial small subunit ribosomal RNA", at positions 56 to 329 of the family's 1533-position model. The record is from RNAcentral.